Molecule: long non-coding RNA, 1284 nt
Filed under: Scleropages formosus (Asian bonytongue)
Lineage: Eukaryota; Metazoa; Chordata; Actinopteri; Osteoglossiformes; Osteoglossidae
Description: lncRNA (ENSSFOG00015025750.1)
Source: RNAcentral
AUGCGGCGGCGCGAGCGAGCGAGCUGCCCCCCUGUCCGCGAGCGAGUGAGCGGAGAGGCGGUCACCCGGAGACCUCCACGCGGUGGGUGUAGGGAUAACCCGCCGCCUGCUCGCUCGCUCGGCCAUCUGGGAGCGCACUGUAAUUUCUCACCGUUCGGGCUCCGCGCCGCUCCGCCAGACCCGUCGAUCCGCGCUCCCGAGAACGUUCAUCGCCCUCCUGCGAAUAGCCCCGCGACGCGUCCAGCAGUGCGCUCGCUCCAGCCUUUGAAGACCCGUCUUCCCACCGCCAUACCGCCAGAGCCCGAAGCCGCCAGCGCCGAGCACCCGCUUCUCGCCGGAGCGCUGUUUUGUCUCCAGGUAAGUGCUUAUUAAUACGUGCGCGAGUUUCGUUUUAACAAACCGCGCUCGUGCGCCUCGGUUUGUACCGUUUUGCGUUCGCGGAGCCGUUUCGCUGUAGCCCGAGUUAUAUUAGUAGAGGUCAACGGCGUCGACACCGGACGGACCGUCAUCUCGGUUUAGCCGAUUACACGCUCCCUUCCAGGCGUUUGUCCUCGACGUUUAAACAUUUCAACCACGCAUUUUUUUUUUUUUUAAUCAAAAAGUCUCCUUUAAAGUCCCCGCGUCGUAACUAAGGCGCAAGCUCGUGACACACUAUUAAUUUUAAAAAAAAAAAAGGGGGUUUGCACUAGUCGGACCAGCCAGGUUCGUCGCCCCAAACAAAAGCUCGACACCGGGGUGUUCGAGAUCGACUCGGUUUUUUUCUUAAAAAAAAAAAAAAAAAAAAAAAAAAUCUUCACACACGAAUGUUUAAAAAAAAAAAAAAAAUUUUAGCAAGUAAUGCAAACAGACGUGGUCCUUUCGGCUGCCCGGUUACUGGUAACAACAACAAGCAGCGGUUGAAGCUAUCAAAGCGAAAAUUAUGAAAAAUGUGGGGGGGAAUGUAGUUAUCUGUGGAUUUUAUAGUUUUAAAUCCAAAAUGGCCUGUAAAGAGCGCUAAUCGUAUUAUGUACGGCUAUUUUGUAGCAGCUCGGUGCUGCGACGCGACCCCCAGCCGCCCGGAGAGAAAGAGCGGAGACUCUGGGCUUUUGUUACCGCCGCCAUUUCUGUCUGAGUCGCUCGCGCUGGAAAACGCCAUCGCCUCAGUUUCUGACUCCUAAAACGCGUAAAAUCUAAAUAUCUUCCUUUUAAUUCUUUGUUUAAUCGAACAAAGCGAUGUUUUAAAUAAGGGGUUGGGGGGAAAACGUCGAGGUUUUUUUUUCCCUUUUUUUUUUUUUUCUUUCCUCC